UACUUUUUUUUUUUUUUUUUUUUUUUUUUUUUUUUUUUUUUUUUUUUUUUUUCCGCGCUCGCUGCA
Molecule: non-coding RNA, 66 nt
Filed under: Alexandrium minutum
Lineage: Eukaryota; Dinophyceae; Gonyaulacales; Pyrocystaceae
Source: RNAcentral